UCCUCUCAAACCAGCUAGGGAUCGUCGCCUUGGUGAGCCAUUACCUCACCAACUAGCUAAUCCCACUUGGGCCAAUCUAAAGGCGAGAGCCGAAGCCCCCUUUGGUCCGUAGACAUUAUGCGGUAUUAGCAGUCGUUUCCAACUGUUGUCCCCCACCUCAAGGCUGUUCCCAAGCAUUACUCACCCGUCCGCCGCUCGACCCAGAGUAGCAAGC
This 214-nucleotide ribosomal RNA is filed under the name Pseudoalteromonas sp. VL-1. RNAcentral's name for it is "partial 16S ribosomal RNA". The record is from RNAcentral. Lineage: Bacteria; Pseudomonadati; Pseudomonadota; Gammaproteobacteria; Alteromonadales; Pseudoalteromonadaceae.